ACAAAAGCGGCGGCAAAUAUUCGUUUAUACAUAUGUAUAUAGUGUGCAAACACAAAUAUUAGCAACGGCCAGAUAAACAAAGCGAACUGCGCAAAUAUGCGAGUGACGAUCGUCUGACAUUUUCAGCGAUUUUAUUUUCGCAUCUUGGCCCAAAUCUCAAAGCUCGAGAGCCAGCCAGUCGGUCCACCUGUUCCCGUCCAACACGCAGGGAUUGAAUCAUGCGCCUUUGUCCGGGAACAGAGGAGACGUGUUUAUUAUAGAGUGUAGUUAGCACAGUUCUAUUUAUAUUUAGUUGAGGAAAUAGUGACUGGGGAAUAGAUGACACAUUUUUAGAACCUGAACCUUCAGCUGAUUUGCUCUUGAACAAACAGAUGAUACAUUUGGGCAUGACUGACUUAUUAUGCGACAUUUGGAACUUUUUCGAACUGUUAUAGGUGUGCUUAUUUACAUAAUCUGGUUAUAAAAGUACCAUAAAUCUA
Drosophila sechellia is the source of this 479-nucleotide long non-coding RNA. RefSeq lists it as uncharacterized. The record is from RefSeq and is a predicted model, not a curated record. The transcript has 2 exons. Lineage: Eukaryota; Metazoa; Arthropoda; Insecta; Diptera; Drosophilidae.